Molecule: long non-coding RNA, 831 nt
Filed under: Malus domestica (apple)
Lineage: Eukaryota; Viridiplantae; Streptophyta; Magnoliopsida; Rosales; Rosaceae
Description: long non-coding RNA (MDOM_LNC012846)
Source: RNAcentral
AUACAUAACCAAGUUAACCUACGAGCAUAAACUCUCUCGACAAGAUGUAAAAGAUACACUAGUGCUUGACUUUAGUGCAAGUGGGAGAUUGUUGGAAAUAUGCCCUGCAAGUCAAUCUUUGGAAGAAAUCUUUCAGGACAAAUGAAUCGAUGUAUGGAUGAUUCUUAUACAUCAAAUGGCAAAGAUACUAAUUAGGACUAUCUCAAUAAACGAUAUAUGUCUUGAAUAGUGAAUCCAUGGACAAUGGAUCGAUUGAAGAAGUAAUCUAAUGAUGUUAGACUACAGAGACCUUCUUCACAUAACCAUUAUAUCCAAAAGGUUCCUGGUCGUUGGAUUGUCGGAGGGAUACUGACAAUGCUUAGACCGGUACAUACUGUGUUCGCUUCAAUUGGAAGGAUGGAAAGUCUCAUCCCAUUCGUGUUGUGACACUAAGACAAGUAUGUAGGUGCUCAUUAAGGGAAUGAGUUCACAGAACACAAUCGAAUCAGAGUACUUGCAUGGAGGUCUACUCACAUGUCAAGCAAGUAACUCAAAUGGUUGGAAUAAUGUAAGUAAUCCUUUGACAUGAGGCAUCGUCGUUGUCUUGUGGUUAAGUACUUAAUCUUUGAUUAUGUCAAAGUCACUCUAAUAGAAUGUCAACGGCAUAGUUGGGGUUAAGCCACUUAGUCAUGAAGGCAAGUGUAUGCGCAACAAGGAAUCUCUAAUCCUCGAUAAGAGAGGAAGAAUACUCUCAGAUAUGAUUCGGGAAUCUUCGGCCGAAGUAUUGAGCGUAAUAAAGGAAAGCGUUCCUAUACGACUCAAUUGGAUCAUAUAAGAAGGAAUAAUCACAUU